RNAcentral lists this ribosomal RNA (539 nucleotides) under uncultured bacterium. RNAcentral's name for it is "bacterial SSU rRNA". It matches the Rfam family "Bacterial small subunit ribosomal RNA", at positions 774 to 1325 of the family's 1533-position model. The record is from RNAcentral.
AGUGAAUAGAUACCCGGGUAGUCCACGCCGUAAACGAUGGAUGCUAGCUGUACGGAGUAUCGACCCUCUGUGUAGCAAAAAGCUAACGCGUUAAGCAUCCCGCCUGUGGAGUACGAGCGCAAGCUUAAAACAUAAAGGAAUUGACGGGGACCCGCACAAGCGGUGGAGCGUGUUGUUUAAUUCGAUGGUAAGCGAAGAACCUUACCCAGGCUUGACAUCCUGUUAAUCUUUCCGAAAGGAAGGAGUGCCUUCGGGCCGCAGUGACAGGUGAUGCAUGGCCGUCGUCAGCUCGUGUCGUGAGAUGUUUGGUUAAGUCCAUCAACGAGCGCAACCCCUGUAGUUAGUUGGAUUUUUCUAGCUAGACUGCCUCGGUAACGGGGAGGAAGGAGGGGACGAUGUCAGGUCAGUAUCUCCCUUACGUCUGGGGCUACAAACACGCUACAAUGGCCGGUACAAAGGGCUGCCAACCCGCGAGGGGAGCAAAUCCCAUCAAAGCCGGUCUCAGUUCGGAUUGCAGGCUGAAACUCGCCUGCAUGAAG